GAUCCCUGGCUGGCUCAGUGGGUAGAGCAUGUGACUCUUGGUCUCAGGUUCAUGAGUUCAAGCCCCGUGUAGGGCAUGGAGUAAAGGUAUUUUUUAAGAGGCUGAGGACAAAAGAAUGAACAAGAAUGGGGGUCCCUGGGUGGCUCAGUGAGUUAAGCUUCGGACUUCCCGUCAGGUCAAGAUCUCAUGGUUAGUGGGAUCCAGGCCCCAGACCUACCUGCUCAGGAUUCACUCUCUCCUGCUCUACGCCCCUUCCCUGCUCAUUCUCUCUGUCUCUGUCUCUCCCCCAAAAUAAACAAAUAAGCUUCAAAACAAAACAACAAGAAAACAUGGUUUAAAAGGAGAGCACCCUCAAGGCAGGGGACUGGAGCCAGGUGGGUCAAACUCUUCCUUCUUGCUGAUGUUAAGGGGGGAAGGAGAUGAGUUUGUGCAGACUUUGCACAUGUCGGAGAGAGAAAACCAAAGAAGAACGUGUCCAAAUUCCCUGCGCCCUGGACGCGUGGAAAUGGGAGAGGCAAGUUCUCCACUCAGCACGACGGGGAAUCAAAUCUUUCAGAAGUUCAUGGAUUUUAAUAGUGGAUUCUAAACCGUGUGUAACGUUUAAAAAUGAGCUCAUUCUUUAUUUGUAUUACUUUUUGUACAAGAGUUUUAAAGAAAGAAAAUUAUAGGCUGAACAUUCUAUUUGGCUUUAUAUAUGACUUGCUAUGUAUGAUAUAUAUUUAUGACCGGACAGAUUUGUUCCUCCUGGUUGUGCAUUGCCUGGUGAUGGUGAAGAUCCCGUGUUUAGGUACCGGUAUUUGUGAUGGACGCUGUUCUGUGCUCGUUCACUUCCCGACACUACAUUUUCCUGACAUUCCUGAGUUUUUCGUCCGUUCUGCAGAGGGAGACGCGAUGGCUGGGACGGCAGGCUCCACGCACCCGGGCGCCGCUGACUCCCAGCCGGUCGCGUCUAGGGGACGGAAUGGCGGAGGCCCGAGCCGCAGGCCCCAGUGGCCUAAUGGAUAAGGCACUGGCCUCCUAAGCCAGGGAUUGUGGGUUCGAGUCCCACCUGGGGUAAGGGCCCCUUUUUGGCUCUCUCGGCGCCUCGUGCUUUACGCACCCUGGAAUCCACGCCCCCGCGGCACGGACGCAUGAAAAAGCCUGGAGAAGACCAUCCCGCAACUUUUGUACAGCCCACGGGAGGACGGUAUGGAGGCGCAUUUGGCUUGGAGGCUUAAAGGGGGUGUAGAGUGUUUCUGAGGAGGGCGAGGGGUUGACGGAGCGCGGCGACGCAGGCCGCACCGACCCUCGGAUCCCAGCCCUGGAAAACUGCGUGGCAGGAGAAGAUUUAAGUAAUCUGUACACCCAACGUGGGGCGCGAACUCACAACUCCGAGAUCAAGAGUUGCACCCUCUACAGACUGAGCCAGCCAAGCACUCCGUGGAUGUUACUUUUAAGCUAUCUCUGGCUCCCAGGCCCUUCCACGUGGCUGCAACAUCAUGGCCCUAGACUGUACCGCUGGAGCCACUGCUUUCUCGCUCGGUUUCAGGCUUCACUUCUAAAACCAUCCUCAGGACCCUGACUCCAUGCAGCUUACAUUCCAGUGAGAGAGAAGGCAGCAAACAAGUAAACUGAUGAAUAGGAUGGUUUCAAAAUAAAAGGGGUGAUGGGGGACACUUGGUUGAGUAACUCAGAGAAGGCCUCCGGGUAGAGAACAGCAAGGGCAUCAUUGGCAAUCCUGUCACCUUCAGGGGACUUCUUUAAUGUCUUGGCUGAUACACUGUCCACCUCACAGGGUUGUUGUGGGGAGUAAAUGAGAUGAUAUUCAUGUAAAGUGAGUAGAACGAUGCCUGGAGCACAAUAUGUGCUCUAUAAGUCUUGAUUGUCACCAUUUACUAACAGACUACUUUGCCCCAUUAUUCAAGGUUUAUAUGUGAUAGGAUAUUCUCUCAGCUAGAUGUGAAUCCCUGAAAGCUCAAAUUUCAUCUUUUCUUUUCCUUCAUUCAUUAUGAAUUCAUAUGAAGAUUCUUCUGAAUGCCAAGCACAGUGCUAAGCCCUGGGGAAUAUAGAUAUGACUAAGGUAUAAUGCUAGCACUCAACAAAGAAUCUUCUAGAAUCCUCUAGAUCUUUCUAAUCCUCUAGGAUUGAACAUUUCUAUGAAAUGUUUGCAUUAUUUUUAUCUUCCAACACUCUGUAAUCACUUGGUUUUUCAUUGGAAUUCAUGAAAACGAGGAGUUUCUUACCAA
Molecule: long non-coding RNA, 2225 nt
Organism: Felis catus (domestic cat)
Lineage: Eukaryota; Metazoa; Chordata; Mammalia; Carnivora; Felidae
Exons: 2
Source: RefSeq, a predicted model, not a curated record